UGAACGCUAGCGGCACGCUUCAUACAUGCAAGUCGAGGGGCAGCAUAAAGUACUUGUACUUUGAUGGCGACCGGCGAACGGGUGCGUAACGCGUAUGCAACUUACCUUUUACUAGAGAAUAGCCAAGAGAAAUUUUGAUUAAUGCUCUAUACUCUUUUUAACUCACAUGAGUUUUUAAGAAAAGCUCCGGCGGUAAAAGAUGGGCAUGCGUCCUAUUAGCUUGUAGGUGAGGUAACGGCUCACCUAAGCUCCGAUAGGUAGGGGUCCUGAGAGGGAGAUCCCCCACACUGGUACUGAGACACGGACCAGACUUCUACGGAAGGCAGCAGUAAGGAAUAUUGGACAAUGGAGGAAACUCUGAUCCAGCGAUGCCGCGUGAAGGAAGACGGCCCUAUGGGUUGUAAACUUCUUUUAUACAGGAAGAAACCUUUCCACGUGUGGAAAGCUGACGGUACUGUAAGAAUAAGGAUCGG
This 473-nucleotide ribosomal RNA is filed under the name uncultured bacterium. RNAcentral describes it as "bacterial SSU rRNA". It matches the Rfam family "Bacterial small subunit ribosomal RNA", at positions 30 to 496 of the family's 1533-position model. The record is from RNAcentral.